AACGAACGCUGGCGGCAUGCCUAACACAUGCAAGUCGAACGAGACCUUCGGGUCUAGUGGCGCACGGGUGCGUAACGCGUGGGAACCUGCCCUUAGGUUCGGAAUAACUCCCCGAAAGGGGUGCUAAUACCGGAUAAUGUCUUCGGACCAAAGAUUUAUCGCCUUUGGAUGGGCCCGCGUUGGAUUAGCUAGUUGGUAGGGUAAAAGCCUACCAAGGCGACGAUCCAUAGCUGGUCUGAGAGGAUGAUCAGCCACACUGGGACUGAGACACGGCCCAGACUCCUACGGGAGGCAGCAGUGGGGAAUAUUGGACAAGGGGCGAAAGCCUGAUCGAGCAACGCCGCGUGAGUGAUGAAGGCCUUAGGGUUGUAAAGCUCUUUUACCCGGGAUGAUAAUGACAGUACCGGGAGAAUAAGCUCCGGCUAACUCCGUGC
Molecule: ribosomal RNA, 434 nt
Filed under: uncultured bacterium
Lineage: Bacteria
Description: partial 16S ribosomal RNA
Rfam family: Bacterial small subunit ribosomal RNA
Source: RNAcentral